GGUGAGAUGGCCGAGCGGUCUAAGGCGCCAGACUAAGGUGCUUGAGGAAUCUGGUCCGCAAGGGCGUGGGUUCGAAUCCCACUCUCAUCA
This is a non-coding RNA of Grifola frondosa (maitake), 90 nucleotides long. NCBI's taxonomy places the organism in Eukaryota, Fungi, Basidiomycota, Agaricomycetes, Polyporales, Grifolaceae. The record is from Rfam.